GGGGAGAAAUGGUUUCUUUUUCCUCUUGACAGUUAACAUAAUGAAAGGGGGAGCUUCCUUUCUUCUUGUCCACGACACUCACCAAAAACCAGAUUCACUGAUAUAGAGAAAUCGUAGAGAGUAGAAAAAACAGAGUGAAUUGAAGAGAGAGAGAGGAGGAUAAGAGAGGUUAGAAAACACGAGGAGAGAUCGGAAGUAGGGGGUUGAAUGGAGAGCCGUUUCUCUUGACUUUUCCGGCAAGCCCUCACCGAAACCUGUCGAAAACACCGACCAGCUACCUCCUACCCCCACUUCUGGCCAAAACCAUAAACUCCAGCCACAAACGCCACUAUCACCAGAAAAUCCAACCCAUUUUUCGGUUUUCUGUCAUCGCCUAACCUUGUCCGAGGUCCGGUGAGACAAAAACAACACCCCAGUCCACAAAUGCUGCAGAUUACAACCCAAAAUUCAUUGGAACACGAUUGACACAGUAACGGGGCAUACACAUUCGAAUACGGGUCUUUUGUCACUUCGCAAUUUAGGUUCGAGUAGGCGAAAAAUAGAGCAAAAAUGGAUAUAACAAGUUGGUUGUGCGAAGUUGAGGUUUCAUUUGGGUCGAGGUUCUGCUAGUUUGUGGUUUCCGAAUCCAUGAGGCUUUUUCUCCGUUUAACAAAGCGUCAAUUUGUGCAAGGCAUGCUUCAUCUCAGGGAAGGCAAAGUAGGCAGAUGUGUGGUGAAAAAGAACCUGUGUUUGGAAAUCUUCAUCUCAUGCAUUUUUUAUUUGCGUAGUUUCUGACCAUUAAUCUUCUUCCUUGUGAUUCCAAGAAUUGACAGACUUUAAGACAACGAAGACAAGAUUGAACAACUCCUACGAUUGCAAACAAAGAAGAAAUCCUCAAAAUUAACUGUCACGAUAUCUAGACAUUGGACUGCAAUAGAUGCAUUGAGUAAGAUCGCGUCAUAUUUUGAACAGGUUAUAUGCAUCCGUUAAAACUAGAAGAAUUAAUAAGAGAUGACUGAUCACGCUAACCUAUACCUUUGUUGUCCAUAGCUCAACUUAUGUGGAGGUUGAAUCCACGAGGAGCGAAACUAGUCUUCAAGACUUAUGGGUGGCAAUGGCAUCUAAAGAUAUACUCGUAGUGAAGGCAAAAUAAGAUACAUGAUUUAAAAUGGGGGUUUGGUUGGAACGUGUUUCUAUCAAAGUCUAUUCAAAUUAACAACUAA
This is a long non-coding RNA of Capsicum annuum, 1202 nucleotides long. RefSeq lists it as uncharacterized. The record is from RefSeq and is a predicted model, not a curated record. The transcript is spliced from 2 exons. NCBI's taxonomy places the organism in Eukaryota, Viridiplantae, Streptophyta, Magnoliopsida, Solanales, Solanaceae.